This 372-nucleotide ribosomal RNA is filed under the name uncultured bacterium. Its description in RNAcentral is "bacterial SSU rRNA". It matches the Rfam family "Bacterial small subunit ribosomal RNA", at positions 524 to 898 of the family's 1533-position model. The record is from RNAcentral.
UACGGAGGAUGCGAGCGUUAUCCGGAUUCAUUGGGUUUAAAGGGUACGUAGGCGGCCUAAUAAGUCAGUGGUGAAAAUCUGUCGCUUAACGAUAGAAGUGCCAAUGAUACUGUAAGGCUUGAGUACAGAUGAGGUAAGCGGAAUGUGUUGUGUAGCGGUGAAAUGCAUAGAUAUUACACAGAACCCCGAUUGCGAAGGCAGCUUACUAAGUUGAGACUGACGCUGAUGUACGAAAGCGUGGGGAUCGAACAGGAUUAGAUACCCUGGUAGUCCACGCCGUAAACGAUGCUCACUGGCUGUAUGCGAUAUAUAGUAUGCGGCUAAGCGAAAGCGGUAAGUGAGCCACCUGGGGAGUACGCCGGCAACGGUGAA